GGACGCUUGAGAAUAUCCGUCACGUUGAUACCGUGGAUUCGAGUACACAACACUACAUUGUUCGAAAGUUUUAGCUAAAACUCCAUUGGGUUGUAUGGUGAUCCCUUCUUUCUAUUUGUGUGUUGGCCGUGAAUUCAGAGGUUUCAGCAAACCCAGUGCCAAAGGAGCGGGAGUGGGACAGAGCCCGUCAAGGUUUUUAAAUAAGAGCGAUGAGUUUAUGUGUUUGGAAACAUAACUCUGGGAGCGCCAUAAAGGAGUGAUUCCGAGGGACGAAAGAAUUUUUUUCCCCCUGAAGAUUGUGAUAAAGAUGUGUGAACUAAGGAUACUUGGAACACCUGCGCAAGCACUGGAUUUUGCCCAGCGACAUCUUAAAGGAAGCAGGCUGUGAGCCAAGGGGAAGGCAGAGGACAGAUAUGAGCGUGUCCCCAAGAUUUCCUGGUGGUUUAUGGUAUUCUCCAAACUCCUAUGCAAGGUCUGUGCCUGACCAAGAAGACCCAAGGAGACCUUCUCUAAAAUCAAGUCCGGAUGAAGCUUGUCUUUCGGAAAUUCGUGCAAGAUGCUAUAUUCUCUAAGCCUGCAGUGGCUUCCUCUGUUUCAGCACUAGAUGGUGCUCUACAUCCAGGUUUAUCACAGCCCAGUGUUGGUGUGUUGCCACUGUUUUAGCACUAGAGGGCAAUCCAAGGUGAAGUUUGCCCCAAAUCUGCAAUUGUUGUUAUUUAACAUAAAUUGG
Molecule: long non-coding RNA, 730 nt
Filed under: Ictidomys tridecemlineatus (thirteen-lined ground squirrel)
Lineage: Eukaryota; Metazoa; Chordata; Mammalia; Rodentia; Sciuridae
Description: lncRNA (ENSSTOG00000030795.1)
Source: RNAcentral